CCCUGGUCAGGGCACAUAUAAGAAUAAAUCAUGGUCCCUGUAAUGUAUGGAGGCAGUGGGAAGGGGCUCCGGCCCCCUCAGCGUCAUGUCUUCAGUGCUGAUGGUUUCCAGUCCUCCGGUUCUGUCCUCAAGCGCCGGGACACUG
This is a small nucleolar RNA of Phyllostomus hastatus (greater spear-nosed bat), 145 nucleotides long. RefSeq annotates it as small nucleolar RNA SNORA57. The transcript has a single exon. NCBI's taxonomy places the organism in Eukaryota, Metazoa, Chordata, Mammalia, Chiroptera, Phyllostomidae. The record is from RefSeq and is a predicted model, not a curated record.